Molecule: ribosomal RNA, 449 nt
Filed under: uncultured bacterium
Lineage: Bacteria
Description: partial 16S ribosomal RNA
Rfam family: Bacterial small subunit ribosomal RNA
Source: RNAcentral
AACGAACGCUGGCGGCAUGCCUAACACAUGCAAGUCGAACGAGAUCUUCGGGUCUAGUGGCGCACGGGUGCGUAACGCGUGGGAAUCUGCCCUUUGGUUCGGAAUAACAGUUGGAAACGACUGCUAAUACCGGAUGAUGACGAAAGUCCAAAGAUUUAUCGCCAGAGGAUGAGCCCGCGUAGGAUUAGCUAGUUGGUGUGGUAAAGGUGCACCAAGGCGACGAUCCUUAGCUGGUCUGAGUGGAUGAUCAGCCACACUGGGACUGAGACACGGCCCAGACUCCUACGGGAGGCAGCAGUGGGGAAUAUUGGACAAUGGGCGAAAGCCUGAUCCAGCAAUGCCGCGUGAGUGAUGAAGGCCUUAGGGUUGUAAAGCUCUUUUACCCGGGAUGAUAAUGACAGUACCGGGAGAAUAAGCUCCGGCUAACUCCGUGCCAGCCGCCGCGGUAA